AGGAAAUUCCUUGCUGUUCUGUGCCUUCCCUGCCUCCGCCCGUCCCAGGGGAGCGCAGGAUCCUGGGCUGUGUCCCCCGGAGCCCUGGGAUCUGGGGUCUG
This 101-nucleotide microRNA precursor is filed under the name Canis lupus familiaris (dog). Its description in RNAcentral is "miRNA (ENSCAFG00000059224.1, ENSCAFG00845017801.1)". The record is from RNAcentral. Lineage: Eukaryota; Metazoa; Chordata; Mammalia; Carnivora; Canidae.